Camelus dromedarius (Arabian camel) is the source of this 1742-nucleotide long non-coding RNA. RefSeq lists it as uncharacterized. The record is from RefSeq and is a predicted model, not a curated record. The transcript has 2 exons. NCBI's taxonomy places the organism in Eukaryota, Metazoa, Chordata, Mammalia, Artiodactyla, Camelidae.
UGCUUCGUCUGUACUGCCCGGGUGGGUCUAGGGGCUUGGCUUUGAAAAACCUUCACUGCUGUGCUGAACCAGAAGGUACCCCCUAACCCGCGUGUGGCAACUGAGCGCUUGAAAUCGCUGCGCUAUAGGAUAAAGACUUCCGGAUUCCUGUCUCCAACAUGGACCCCGGCCUCUCCUCCCGAGUUACAGACCCAUAGUUCCGCUGCCUACGUGACAUCUCCCUUUGGGUGUCUUACGACCAUCUCUGACGUACACAUCCUCACCCAAAACCUGUGCCUUCCCAGUCUGGCCCAUCUCAAUAAUGACCCGAGCACCCUCCCACUUGCGCUAGGAGAAACUGAGGAAUCAUUUUUGUUUACUAUCCUUCAAUCUCCACAUGCAAUCCGUUAGCAGGUCCCAUCAUUUCUUAACUCCAGAAUGUCCCAAAUCUGUCCACCUUCCGUUUUUCCGAUUUUCCGGUGCUGCAACUCUAGUCCAGGCUAGCAUAAUCUCAGAAACGAUUACAAUAGUCAUUUUACAGGCAAGAAAACUGAAAUUACAGAAAGUAGCCCUGUGUUGAAGCUCACACAACUAAAAUAUGGCAGAACUGGGAUCCACCCUCAGGCCAGUCUGAUCCCAAAGCCCUCUUCUUACCACUGACUAACUAAUUCAGGGUCAGACUGCCUGAGUGCAACAAGGCUCUGUUGCUUAUGACAGCCAUAGCCAAAUUAAUCACCCCUACUGACUUCUAGUUUCUUUGCAUAUAAAGUGGCUGCUGUGUGGAAAAUUCACUGCAUUCUGGAUGGGAGGGUGGGGAGACAAAAUCAGGACAAUAUUUAGGAGGCUGUGGCAAUUGUCCAGAGAUUGUGGAGUGCUGGACCAGUGUGGUAUCUUGGGGCAGCAAGGAUGAUGGGAACAAACCCGGGUUUCAGGAGUUUGAGACACACUACAAUAAAGUUCACACUGUCUCCUUAGAUGACUGCUAGGCACCAAUUCAAAUAUCCAAAGGCAAACACAGCCCAAGGAUUGUAUUAUGGUUCUUGUUUUUUACUAUGGUUCUCCAGAUAACCUAAAUGUGAUGGUGGGAGGCCACACCUCCAUCCCAAUAGGAAGUUAUGUUGAGGAGGGAAGCCUUCCACCCACCCUGCCAAGAGCAGACAAAACCCCUUCUCCCUCCCUGAUGACCCAAGCCCAAACCCUGUACUUUGAGACAUACCAGUUCCCUGCUUCAGGUCCUACUUACUGUUUCACCAUGGCCCUUCCCUCUUCACUCUCAGUCUUGUCCUAUUAGAAUCACAGGAGAGAGGAAUUCUAGAGCUGGAAGGAAGCCACUGUUAGGGCUUCCAGUGUGGAAGUCAGGGAGGGGCCAGGAUUUGAACCCAGGUUCUUGACCUCUGAGAACUGUGCUCUUUCAAAUCUGUACCUUCCCCGAGCAGCCCAAAAGGGAGGUGUCCCACUUUGUGGCCAGAGCAGGAGACAGCAGGUCAAAAUAUAUCAGAGCUACCCCUUGCUAGUUCUGAGGGAUGUUCUCUGGUGCUAUGCACACCAGCCAUUCCAACAUCCCUACUAUUCUACCCCACAUACCAGGCCCAGAUGGUUAGGGACUAUUUCCCACCACCCUCCCCAUUGCCCACCACAUUCCCACUACAAGAGUCCUUUCAGUUGCCAUGUUGUAGAGUCUUGAACAGUGCUGUGUCUUGGGCAAAGAAGGUGAUGAUUAAAAAAAAAAAAAAAAAAAGAUCCCCAGGCAUUUGGAAGGCUCC